UACAGAGGUCCCGAGCGUUUGUUCGGAUUCAUUGGGCGUAAAGAGCUCGUAGGUGGUUUGUCGCGUUGUUCGUGAAAACUCACAGCUUAACUGUGGGCGUGCGGGCGAUACGGGCAGACUGGAGUACUGCAGGGGAGACUGGAAUUCCUGGUGUAGCGGUGGAAUGCGCAGAUAUCAGGAGGAACACCGGUGGCGAAGGCGGGUCUCUGGGCAGUAACUGACGCUGAGGAGCGAAAGCGUGGGGAGCGAACAGG
RNAcentral lists this ribosomal RNA (254 nucleotides) under uncultured bacterium. Its description in RNAcentral is "partial 16S ribosomal RNA". It matches the Rfam family "Bacterial small subunit ribosomal RNA", at positions 524 to 776 of the family's 1533-position model. The record is from RNAcentral.